RNAcentral lists this long non-coding RNA (633 nucleotides) under Ricinus communis (castor bean). RNAcentral describes it as "long non-coding RNA (RCOM_LNC000251)". Lineage: Eukaryota; Viridiplantae; Streptophyta; Magnoliopsida; Malpighiales; Euphorbiaceae. The record is from RNAcentral.
UCAAAUUCUUUAAAUCUUGAUUACUAGAUUCUCAUUUUCCCUGGAAAGUUGUAUACCAGAAUUUAUGGACUCAUUUUCUUACAUCCAAGAACCCUGAAAAAUAAAAGCAAUCGCAUGUCAAGUACUUUAUGAAAACUACAUUAAUCAAUGAUGAGAAGUGAAGAUUAGAAAAAAAGGGAAUCGCAAGCCUCCCGGUCACAGAUAGAUGCAAUCAUUCAUUAAAGUACAGGUGGAAUGCUAAUUGCCAAGACAGAUGGUGCAGAAUGCCCAAUUUUCAUUUGCCCUGUACAGUAAGUGCAUCACAAGUGUAAAGUUUGGACAACAAUUCCAUAAAACAAUCACAACUGCUUACGACACUCUAAAUCACACUUGUCUGGUGAUUUGGUGGCUGGAUGCUAUGACAAAUUGACAUCUCUUUUGCAUUUCGGGUUAGUUUUCUCUCCUGUAGUAAUUAUAUUUUCUUGAUCGGUUUGAAGUUUAGAUAAAUCAUCCGAACUAGAAUGAAAAGAUUCAGAAAUUGAUACAUAUUGUGUCCCAGUGGAUUAUACCCCUGGAAUAAUAAUUCAAUGGAGGAAGCUCAAGGAUGUGAUUGAGGUUGAACAUGGAAAGGGAAACUUCCCACGAGAGAGGAAU